This 468-nucleotide ribosomal RNA is filed under the name uncultured bacterium. Its description in RNAcentral is "partial 16S ribosomal RNA". It matches the Rfam family "Bacterial small subunit ribosomal RNA", at positions 28 to 507 of the family's 1533-position model. The record is from RNAcentral.
GACGAACGCUGGCGGCGUGCUUAACACAUGCAAGUCGAACGGAAAGGCCCUGCUUUUGUGGGGUGCUCGAGUGGCGAACGGGUGAGUAACACGUGAGUAACCUGCCCUUGACUUUGGGAUAACUUCAGGAAACUGGGGCUAAUACCGGAUAGGAGCUCCUGCUGCAUGGUGGGGGUUGGAAAGUUUCGGCGGUUGGGGAUGGACUCGCGGCUUAUCAGCUUGUUGGUGGGGUAGUGGCUUACCAAGGCUUUGACGGGCAGCCGGCCUGAGAGGGUGACCGGCCACAUGGGGACUGAGAUACGGCCCAGAGUCCUACGGGAGGCAGCAGUGGGGAAUAUUGCACAAUGGGCGGAAGCCUGAUGCAGCAACUCCGCGUGCGGGAUGACGGCCUUCGGGUUGUAAACCGCUUUCGCCUGUGACGAAGCGGGAGUGACGGUAAUGGGUAAAGAAGCACCGGCUAACUACGUG